AUUGAACGCUGGCGGCAUGCCUUACACAUGCAAGUCGAACGGCAGCAUGGAGAGCUUGCUCUCUGAUGGCGAGUGGCGAACGGGUGAGUAAUGCAUCGGAACGUACCGUGUAAUGGGGGAUAACGUAGCGAAAGUUACGCUAAUACCGCAUACGACCUGAGGGUGAAAGCAGGGGAUCGCAAGACCUUGCGUUAUACGAGCGGCCGAUGUCAGAUUAGCUAGUUGGUGAGGUAAAGGACCACCAAGGCGACGAUCUGUAGCGGGUCUGAGAGGAUGAUCCGCCACACUGGGACUGAGACACGGCCCAGACUCCUACGGGAGGCAGCAGUGGGGAAUUUUGGACAAUGGGGGCAACCCUGAUCCAGCCAUGCCGCGUGAGUGAAGAAGGCCUUCGGGUUGUAAAGCUCUUUCGGCCGGGAAGAAAUCGCACAGGCUAAUACUCUGUGUGGAUGACGGUACCGGCAUAAGAAGCACCGGCUAACUACGUGCCAGCAGCCGCCGUAA
This 504-nucleotide ribosomal RNA is filed under the name uncultured bacterium. RNAcentral's name for it is "partial 16S ribosomal RNA". It matches the Rfam family "Bacterial small subunit ribosomal RNA", at positions 30 to 523 of the family's 1533-position model. The record is from RNAcentral.